RNAcentral lists this ribosomal RNA (484 nucleotides) under Moraxella sp. canine oral taxon 017. RNAcentral describes it as "bacterial SSU rRNA". It matches the Rfam family "Bacterial small subunit ribosomal RNA", at positions 9 to 489 of the family's 1533-position model. Lineage: Bacteria; Pseudomonadati; Pseudomonadota; Gammaproteobacteria; Moraxellales; Moraxellaceae. The record is from RNAcentral.
GAGUUUGAUUAUGGCUCAGAUUGAACGCUGGCGGCAGGCUUAACACAUGCAAGUCGAACGAUGAUUACUAGCUUGCUAGUAUGAUUAGUGGCGAACGGGUGAGUAAUGCUUAGGAAUCUGCCUAUUAGUGGGGGACAACAUUCCGAAAGGAAUGCUAAUACCGCAUACGUCCUACGGGAGAAAGCAGGGGAUCUUUUGACCUUGCGCUAAUAGAUGAGCCUAAGUCGGAUUAGCUAGUUGGUGGGGUAAAGGCCUACCAAGGCGACGAUCUGUAGCUGGUCUGAGAGGAUGAUCAGCCACACUGGGACUGAGACACGGCCCAGACUCCUACGGGAGGCAGCAGUGGGGAAUAUUGGACAAUGGGCGAAAGCCUGAUCCAGCCAUGCCGCGUGUGUGAAGAAGGCCUUUUGGUUGUAAAGCACUUUAAGUGGGGAGGAAAAGCUAAUAAUUAAUNCCUAUUAGGGANGACGUACCCACAGAAUAA